GAUGAACGCUGGCGGCGUGCCUAAUACAUGCAAGUCGAGCGAACAGACGAGGAGCUUGCUUCUCUGACGUUAGCGGCGGACGGGUGAGUAACACGUGGAUAACCUACCUAUAAGACUGGGAUAACUUCGGGAAACCGGAGCUAAUACCGGAUAAUAUUUUGAACCGCAUGGUUCAAUAGUGAAAGACGGUUUUGCUGUCACUUAUAGAUGGAUCCGCGCCGCAUUAGCUAGUUGGUAAGGUAACGGCUUACCAAGGCGACGAUGCGUAGCCGACCUGAGAGGGUGAUCGGCCACACUGGAACUGAGACACGGUCCAGACUCCUACGGGAGGCAGCAGUAGGGAAUCUUCCGCAAUGGGCGAAAGCCUGACGGAGCAACGCCGCGUGAGUGAUGAAGGUCCUCGGAUCGUAAAACUCUGUUAUUAGGGAAGAACAAAUGUGUAAGUAACUAUGCACGUCUUGACGGUACCUAAUCAGAAAGCCACGGCUAACUACGUG
RNAcentral lists this ribosomal RNA (497 nucleotides) under uncultured bacterium. Its description in RNAcentral is "partial 16S ribosomal RNA". It matches the Rfam family "Bacterial small subunit ribosomal RNA", at positions 28 to 507 of the family's 1533-position model. The record is from RNAcentral.